CAGUAGCCGCGGGAAUACGUAGGGGGCGAGCGUUGUCCGAAGUUACUGGGCGUAAAGCGCGCGUAGGCGGCUUCUUAAGUCUGAGGUGAAAGGUUCAACGCUUAACGUGAACAGUGCCUUGGAUACUGGGGAGCUUGAGUAUGGGAGAGGGCAGUGGAAUGGCUGGUGUAGCAGUGAAAUGCGUAGAUAUCAGUCGGAACACCCAUGGCGAAGGCAGCUGCCUGGCCUAAUACUGACGCUGAGGUGCGAAAGCGUGGGGAGCGAACGGGAUUAGAUACCCCAGUAGUCCCUGUCUCUUAUA
Molecule: ribosomal RNA, 301 nt
Filed under: uncultured bacterium
Lineage: Bacteria
Description: partial 16S ribosomal RNA
Rfam family: Bacterial small subunit ribosomal RNA
Source: RNAcentral